This 463-nucleotide ribosomal RNA is filed under the name uncultured Klebsiella sp. RNAcentral describes it as "bacterial SSU rRNA". It matches the Rfam family "Bacterial small subunit ribosomal RNA", at positions 338 to 795 of the family's 1533-position model. Lineage: Bacteria; Pseudomonadati; Pseudomonadota; Gammaproteobacteria; Enterobacterales; Enterobacteriaceae. The record is from RNAcentral.
CCUACGGGAGGCUGCAGUGGGAAUAUUGCACAAUGGGCGCAAGCCUGAUGCAGCCAUGCCGCGUGUGUGAAGACGGCCUUCGGGUUGUAAAGCACUUUCAGCGGGGAGGAAGGCGUUAAGGUUAAUAACCUUGUCGAUUGACGUUACCCGCAGAAGAAGCACAGGCUAACUCCGUGCCAGCAGCCGCGGUAAUACGGAGGGUGCAAGCGUUAAUCGGAAUUACUGGGCGUAAAGCGCACGCAGGCGGGCUGUCAAGUCGGAUGUGAAAUCCCCGGGCUCAACCUGGGAACUGCAUUCGAAACUGGCAGGCUAGAGUCUUGUAGAGGGGGGUAGAAUUCCAGGUGUAGCGGUGAAAUGCGUAGAGAUCUGGAGGAAUACCGGUGGCGAAGGCGGCCCCCUGGACAAAGACUGACGCUCAGGUGCGAAAGCGUGGGGAGCAAACAGGAUUAAUACCCUAGUAGUC